GGGAUCACGAAGACACCUCCUGAGAAGAAGAAGAGUCAAGCCUCCAGUCAGCAGACCCGCCAGUAGCCCACCUGGCUGGGUCACGCUAGUGUAUCCGAGAGUCUGAGAUAGAGAGUGACGGCGUGUGUUGGAGUAGGACGGUGGUUACCACCCUAUGUUAGUGUAACGAGGUUGUUAAUAAACAGUGCUGCCUCCCAAGAAGUGUGUACGCCUAUCUGAGCCCAUUACAGUCGUAAGUGGUACAAUGGUGACACGUACAGUACGUAUAUUGUUCAUAUACAGUACAGUCGAUGGUAUAGAAAGACAUACAGCUUAAGAUUAAAGUAAUAUGCGAAUAGUGAAGUGCAAAGGUCAUUGUCAAAAACAACGAUGGCUUAUCAGUAGUAGAAUUGGGUUUAAGAAAACUGUUAUUGAAUAACCGGACGUGUACACCAGUCAUAUGAUUAAUGGCGACUCGGUUCAAUAAAUUUUGUUUGUGACACACGUGCUGUUGCAUCUUAAAGAUUAACCACAAUAAAUGUGUUUGCCCUCGAUUUGGAGCACCUGCCCACGUCCUUCAUUUCGAAGGUGCAACAUGCAGACCCCAGUCCCCCAAGAGGGGGGCUGGGGGGAUGACGUCACACUCCAGGUCCCGCUCGAAGGUUCGAGAAGGAAGGCGUGGUUAGGGGUGGAGAGAGCUGGGACUGUGUAUAAAAACCGGACCCAUGAACGGGUCCGGCUGUUGUUGUCCACUGAAGAUCCGAAAACGCCACCCUGAAGACCUGGAGCCAAGGCCAGGACCCGAGGACCUUGGCUGGGUCGGGUCAGAGUUAUCCUCCCUAGACGCCGUUAGCUGGAGGACCGAUACUAGAGCUGUUCCCCCAGUAUGUAGGACACGCUAGCCCGGAGGACAUACCUCCCUAUAGUAUCGGGUGAAAGGGGCCGUUACCCCUUUGUAUCAGGGAUUGUUAUCGUUAUUGUUAAAUAAACGUGUUGCCUCCAGAGAAGUCUCUCCAUUUGUACCCACUACACAUGUGCAAGGACUGGAUGGAAAGUUGCACCGCAUAAUUGUGAGAGAUGACUGCGACUUGAGAAGGCCUUGAUCCAGCAGUGGAUGUAUCAUGAAAUGAAGCACACUGCGUUAUAAAUAUGCCACCCGAGUUCAAUUCGCGCUCAUGUCUAACAGCAGUUAUCUGAAACGAACCUGGGUUUCCGCUUGGUCGAUACAGCCUUAAAUAAGUAGCUAGAUUCUGAGUACCAAAUGUCCGAUUUCCACCGGAAUUUACACACAGGCAUUGCAUACAUUUCCACGAGAAUUUACGAGUGAUAUCGAGCAGUUCCCCACGCACCUGGAGAGCCCCACCCUCACCUGGGUGCUCGCAUAUAAAAGUGCGCGCAUCGCUGCGAUCCUCACAUCAGCGGCUCCAGAUUCGACCUUCCAGUUGCUCACGGAUCACCAACGACUUCAGCCAUGGACCGGGAAUCACAGGUGGAAGCUAAUUUCGAACCAAUUGACAUGGACAACGACGGCUUCAUUUCGUUUGCCGACUACCAUGACUUCUUGGAAAUGAACGGUGUGGAUCAAGACUGCACCAGUGUGGACAAAAACAAAGAUGGCAAGAUCUCUUUCGAAGAGUUUUCUCAAUUCUACAAGAAGGACUCUGACAAGCAGAAGGAGAAGCUGAAGCUGAAAAAGUGAACUCCAAGGACAUGGCUGCGGGGUGAAAGGGUUGCUCUUAGUUUUUGCUUCUUAAUCAUCAUGACCAGUGUCAACCCUACUACUAAGUAUUAGGCAUGUAAUCAUGUAUUUAUUCAUUAAAAUGAAUUCUUACUCUCUCAUUCAUGCCUCCAAUCGGUCGUGCAAGAAUCAGACAUUUAAAUGGCAUUGCAUAUUAUAUGCAAACAUUAUCUUUAUGCUGAGCAAAUUUAAUUAUAUGAAUGAGAUUAAAUAUAUUACAAUAAGACCUAAAAAAGGAAUUGAUUAUUGAAUAUAAUAGAGAAUUGACAUUUCACUGAAUCAGAGGGUAAUCUUUACAUGCCUAAUAAAAAAAAACUACUGCUGCUAUUUAUAGCUAUUACUACAUAUAUGUGACACUACUGCUAAUUAGCACAACCACUAAUGCUCCAUUUAAAUGUACUUUUAGUACAAAGCAUUUCAAUAAUCUUUCAGAUGUAUUGUGCUGUAUGACGUCCAGGCACCAUUAUCGCAAAUUGCACAAUGACACGAACUCGAACGAGGCAUAAUGCAUCCAUUCAAUACGGAAUAAACACCUCAGUGCAGUACACGUACUCUCAAAUACCAGUCACAGAUCACUCUUGAACAACACUACAUUCAGAAUGCUGGACGUGGCUUGGUAACCUGAAAGGCAGCAGUGUACAGAAUGCUAACACGGUUCUGUCUGCAAAUACAGCCCAGCGUUCUGAUGGAUGGAUUUUUACACAUGCAAUGAAAUAAAC
Molecule: RNA transcript, 2436 nt
Organism: Lethenteron reissneri (Far Eastern brook lamprey)
Lineage: Eukaryota; Metazoa; Chordata; Hyperoartia; Petromyzontiformes; Petromyzontidae
Gene name: calcineurin subunit B type 2-like
Source: RefSeq, a predicted model, not a curated record